CUCCAGCAUGGGCAACAGAGCGAGACUCCAUCUUAAAAAAUAAUACACCUAACAUAUCAAACAUCCUAGCUCAUCCUAGCCUACCAUAAAUGUGCUUAGAACACUUAAAUUAGUCUACAGUUGGGCAAAAUAAUCUAACACAAAGCCUAUUCUAAUAUCUCAUAUAAUUUAUUGAAUACUGUUCUGAAAGUGAAAAUCAGAAUGAUUGUAUGGGUACUUGAAGUAGAGUUUCUACUGAAUAAACAUUGCUUUUGUAUCAUCAAAAAGUCAAAAAAUUAUAAGUUAAAUCAUUAUCACUGGGGGCCAUCUGUAUAUACAUAUGAUGAUAUAUAUCCCAUCAUUAAGUGAUACAUGACUGUGUACUAUAUACUUAAGCAGUAUAUAUAUAGAGUACAUAUAGUUUUGUACUAUAUAUAGAGAGAGUAAUGGAUCACUUAAUGAUGGGGAAUAUGUUCUGAGAAAUUAGUCAUUAGGCAAUUUCAUUUUUGUAUGAGUAUCAUAGAGUAUAUUUACAUAAACCUAGAUGGCAUAGUCUAUACACAUAUAGGCUAUAUGGUAUAGCCUAUUGCUCCUAGGCUACAAACCUGUACGACAUAUUAAUAAAAAGGUACAGCAUUUUACUAUACCUUUUCUGUGUUUAAAUACACAAAUACUAUUGUAUUACAAUUACGUAUAGUACUGAAUACUAUAUUACAAUUAUGUACUGUAUUACAAUAGUAAUGGUACUAUACCAUAGUUAAUUGUAAUACAGUAUAUAAUUGUAAUAUAGAAUUCAAUACUAUAGGUAAUUAUAAUACAAUAGUAUUUGUGUAUCUAAACAUAGAAAAGGCAUAGUAAAAAUAUGAUACAAAAGGUUUUUAAAGUGGUCCACCUGUUUAGGGCACUUACCAUGAACAGAGCUUGCAGGACUGCAAGUUGCUCUGGAUGAGUCACUCCCUGAGUGAGUAGUGAGUGAAUGGUGUGAGUGAGUGAGUGAAUGUGAAGGCCUAGGACAUUAUUGUACGCUACUGUAAACUUUAUAAACAAUGUACGUUUAGGUAACUCUAAAUUUAUUUAAAAAGUUUUCUUUCUUUAAUAACCUUAGCUUACUGUAACUUUUUUAGUUUAUAAACUUUUAAAUGGUUUUAAACCUUUUGACUAUUUCAUAAUAACACUUAAACACAAAUACAUUGUGCAGCUGUACAAAAAUAUUUUCUUUAUAUCCUUUGUAUCUUGACAUCCCUAUUCCACGUACCUUUUCUAUUUUUAAUUUUCUUUUAUUUUAUAACUAUUUUGCUAAAAAUGUAGACACAAACACACAUCUUGGCCUGGGCCUAUGCUGGUGGAAAAUACCACUGUUUACCACUUCUACCUGUUGUCCUGGGACAUAUUGCCCCUGAAGGAUGGGCUUAGGGUGUGACUUUGCUCAUUUCCUUUUUGUCACCUCACAAAGCCCUGCUUUGUUUGCUUUAUCUAAGACCUCUGUGCUACCUAGCUAAGUUUGGCUUCCUGUCCAAUGCUGUUCACUCUGUCUCCAUGGAUCCAGCUCAAUUGGAAGAAAAAGCAGAUGAAGGCCUGAAUGUCUACUGAGUUUUCAGUGACUUCCUCAAACUUCUCACUUACCUUUCAGUGCUGGCAUCGUCCAGGUCAUAGGAGAAAGUAGUAGGGGUGACUCAAAUAUUUAGUAUUUGCACAGUAAAAAUGUCCAGCUAUGCCAGGUGGAGUGGCUCACACCUAUAAUCCCAGUGCUUUGGGAGGCUGAGCAGGAGGAUUGCAUGAGGCCAAGAGUAUGAGACCAGCCUGGGCAACAUAGUGAGACUCUGUGUCUACAAAAAGUUUUUUUUUUAAAAAAUUAGCUGGGCAUGGUGGCAUGUGUCUGUAGUUCUAGCUACUUGGGAGGCUGAGGUGGGAGGAUCAUUUGAGCCCAGGAGUUUGUGGCUGCAGUGAACUAUGGUUGCACCAUUGCACCCCAGCCUGGGCGAUAGAGGGAGACCCUGCUUGUAAAAAGCAAGCCAAGCUCUUUACUGGCUGAAAUUGCAUGGAGUAAGGGAGGGAGUCGAAAUUCUGGGGCAGAGAACUACCUUUUGUUGUUCAUAUGUGUUUGUCUUUAAUAAUGUUCCCCAGUAUCUUAUGUUAAUGAGGAACAUUAAUGCUUUGACAUCGUUUCACGGUGCCACUUCAGGGAAUCACUCUUGCUUAUUCUAAGGAGGAUUUGGAGCUGUACCGAGCUAAAAGUCUGAAUUUGGAGAUGAUAGUGGUGACCUUAUAGGCAAUAUCAGGUACAGAUGGAGCUUUAAUAGUGAAAAAGUAGACUGCUCAGAGUAAGUAUGGAGGAUCAUACUUCUGCAUACACUGAAUGUAGUUGUUUCUUUUCCACACAAGCACUCUCUACAAGAGAGGUUUCUUUAGAAAGAAUUGGACCUGAUGGAGGGUCAUUCUAUCAGAAUGAAUUUUUUAGGUUUCUUCCUUACAGUUAACAUCUCUGAAAGGUACGGAUACAAGUUAUCUACAGGGUAACACCUGUAGAUAUGAUGCAACAGGCUUAUGCCAUUGGAGAGUGAAUAGUCAACCUUCUGAAAACAGUGUACACCACCGGAAGGGCAAGAAAAAAAACUACAAUAUAGAACAUCUUUCUGACCUUGAGGUCAGGAAGUCCUCCUCGACAAGACACAAAAAAGAAAAAUCACAAAGGAAAAGAAUGACAACUUGACUCCAUCAAAAUUAAAAACAGGUGCACAUCAGAAUAUACCAUAUAUACAAUUAAAAGAUAAGUAAUGAUAUAGAAGAAACUAAUUGCCUCACACAAAGCAAACUUGGACUGCUUUCUAGAAAGUAAAAAGGAAUCCUAAAAUAAUCAAUAUGAAAAAGACAAACAACCAAAUAAAACAAAAUAAAAAAGCAGACAAAGAUUCAAACAGGCAAAUUCACAAAAGAGGGAAUUCAAAUGGUCAAUAAACACAUUAAAAUAUAUUUAAACUGCAGUAACCAGAGAAUAGCAAAUGUAAAACAAGGUGUCAUAUUUCUACUCAUUUGAUUUGCAAUUAUUAAAAGUGUUGAAAUUAUCAAUUGCUGGGGCAUCAAAUAUCCUCAUAGAUGGCCAAUGAUGGAAGUAUGUACACAUUAUUAAGUUUUGUUUCUAGCAGUGUUUGGUAAGAAUUGAAACUUUUGCUCUAUUUGAAAUUUAUCUUGGUAUAUGGUGUGAAGUAUGGAUUUGAUGUAAACAUUUUUUGGAUGUUUUCCUAGCUGCUUUAACACCAUUUAUUAAACAGUACCUCUUUUUCAUGCUGACUUGAGAUGACAUCUUUGCCAUAUACUAAAUUCACAUAUGUCUUUGGGUCAGCUUCUGAAUUUACUAAUCUGUUCAUCUAUCUGUCUACUCGUGUCACUACCUCCUGUUUUAAUUAUUACAGCUUCACAAUAUGAUUUAAUGAAUGUAUUAUUAUUUGAUUUUUUUUUCUCCUUAGUCACAUUUUUCUUCUGUGUUCUUUUUGUUUUUGAUAUUUUUUCUUUAUAUUGCCUUGUAUUGAUUUUGUACAGGCAUGCCUCAUUUUAUUGUGCUUUGCUUUACUGUGUUUUGCAGAUAUUGCAUUUUUUUCCAGAUUGAAGGUUUGUGGCAACCCUGCAUCAAGCAAGUCUAUAAGCAUCAUUUUUCCAACAGUAUGUGCUCACUUAUUGUCUGGGUGACAUUUUAGUAAUUUGCACAUUUCAAGCUUUUUCAUUAUUUGUAUAUCUGUUAUGGUGAUCUGUGAUCAGUAAUCUUUGAUAUUACUAUUAUAUUUCAAAUGUUUUGGGACACCAUGAACUGGACCCACCUUAACAGAACUUAAUCUAUAAAUGUUCUCUAUAGAACUUAAUCUAUAAAAGUUCUUUAUCAAACGAAUCUAUAAACGUGCAUGUUCUGAUAGUUCCACUAAUCAGCUGUUUCCCAUCUCUCUCUCUCUCCUCAGGCCUCCCUAUUCCCUGAGACACAACAAUAUUAAAUUAGGCCAAUUAAUAAUGCCACAAUGGCCUCUAAGAGUUUGAGUGAAAUGAAGAGUUGUCUAUCUAUCUAUCUAUCUAUCUAUCUAUCUAUCUAUCUAUCUAUCUAUAAUCCAUCUAUUUAUUUUUGAGACAGAUUCUUGCUCUGUCGCCCAGGCUGGAGUGCGGUGGCACUAUCUCGGCUCACUGCAACCUCCACCUCCUGGGUUCAAGCAAUUUUCCUGCCUCAGCUUCCCUAGUAGCUGAGAUUACAGGUGCCCAACACUAUGCCCAGCUUUUUUUUUUUUUUGUAUUUUUAGUAGAGAUGGGGUUUCACCAUGUUGGUCCAGCUGAUCUCGAUCUCCUGACCUCAAGUGAUCCACUGGUCCUUGGCCUCCCAAAGUUCUGAGAUUACAGGAGUGAGCCACUGCGCCCGACCAUAUCUCUCAUUUUAAAUGAAAAGCUAUAAAUGACUAACAUUAGUGAGGAAGGCAUGUGGAAAGGUGAGACAGGUUUGAAAGCUAGGCCUCUUGCACCAAUUGGUUAGCCAAGUUGUGAAUGCAAAGGAAUAGUUCUUGGAGGAAAUUAAAGUGCUACUCCAGUGAACAUAUGAAUAAUAAGAAAGUGAUACAUGCUUAUUACUGAUAUGAAGAAAAGUUUUUGUGUCUGAAUAGAAGAUCAAAUCAGCCACAACAUUUCCUUAAACCAAAGCCUAAUCCAGAGAAAGUCUCCAACUCUCUUCAAUUCCAUGAAGGCUGAUAGAGGUGAGGAAGCUAGCAAAGAUUAAAACCUAGUAUAGGCUAAGGAAGAAGCUGUCUCCAUAACCUAGAAGUGCAAGGUGAAGCAGCAACUGCUGCUGUGGAAGCUGUAGCAAGCUGUCCAGAAGAGUUAGCUAAGAUCAUUGAUGAAGGUGGCUACACUAAACAGCAGAUUUUCAAUGUAAACAAAGCAGCCUUCUAUUGCAAGAAGAUGCCAUCUAGGACUUUCAAAGCUAGAGAGAAGUCAAUGACUGGCUUCAAAGGAUGGGCCGACUCUGUUGUUAGGAGCUAAUGCAACUGGUGACUUUAAGUUGAAGCCAAAGCUCAUUGACCAUUCUGCAAAUCCUAGGGCCUUAAGAAUUAUGCUGUUUCUACUCUUCCUGUGCUCUAUAAAUGAAAAAACAAACUCUAGAUGGGAGCCCAUCUGUUUACAGUAUGGUUUACUGAAUAUUUUAAGCCCACCAUUGAGACCUAUUUCUCAGAAUAAGAGUCUUUUCAAAAUAUUACUGCUCAUUGACAAUGCACUUGAUUACCCAAGAGGUCUGAUGGAGAUGUGCAGAAGAUUAAUGUUGCUUUCAUGGAUGCUAAUUCAGCAUCCAUUCUACAGCUCAUGGAUCAAGGAGUAAUUUUGACUUUCAGAUUUGCUAUUUAAGAAAUACUUUACAUAGUGCUCAGCUGCCCUAGUGAUUCCUUUGAUGAAUCUGGGCAAAGUCAAUUGAAAGUCUUUUCAAAAGAGUUCACCAUUCUAGAUGCCAUUAACAACAUUCACAAUUCAUGGCAGGAGGUCAAAAUAUCAACAUUAACAGAAGUUUAGAAGAAGACGGUUCCAACCCUAACAGAUGAUUUUGAGGGGUUCAAGACAUCAGUGCGAUGAAGUAACUGAAGAUGUGGUGGAGAUGUAAAGAAGACUAGAAUUAGAAGCAGAGCCUGAAUUUGGGACUAAAUUGGUGCAAUCUCAGGAUAAAACUUGAACAAACGAGGAGUGGUUUUUAUGGAUGUGUAAAGAAAGGUUUCUUGGUAUGGAAUCUACUUCUGGUGAAGAUGCUGUGAGCAUUGUUGAAACGACAACAAAGGACAUAGAAUAGUACAUAAACUUAGUUGAUAGAGCAGUGAGAUAGGGCUUGAGAGGAUUGACUCCAAUUUUGAAGGAAGUUCUACUGUGGGUAAAAUGCUAUCAAACAGCAUUGCAUACUAGAGAAAUAUUGCAUGAAAUGAACAAUCAAUUGAUGCAGCAAACUUCAUUGUUUUCUUAUUUUAAGAAAUUGCCAUGGAUGCUUCAACUUUAGGCAACAACCACUGUAGUCAGUCAGCAGCCAUCAAAGUAGAGAAGACCCUCCACCAGCACAAAGCUUACAACUUACUCAAGGCCAAGAUGAUUAUUAGCUUUUUUAGCAAUAAAUUAUUUUUAAAUUAUGGCAUGUACGUUGUUUUUUAUACAUAAUGCUACUGGACACUUAAUGGUCUACAGUAUAGUAUAAACAUAACUUUUACAUGCACUGGGAUGCCAAAAAAAUUCAUGUGACUUGCUUUAUUGUGAUGAUCUGGAACCAAACCUGCAAUAUCUCUGAGUUAUGCCUGUACUUGUUUCUUUUUUAUUAAUUUAGUUAUUAUUAAAUGUGUGUAUUUCACUAGACCAGCUAUUUUCUGUAGAGCUCAUUACAGUUAGGUAGAGAGAGUCAUCACCACACAGAAUAAUUCUCUGUGUAAAAUAUUUCUCCACAAGUUUCUGCCACAGAAGCAGAUAGCUUCCUGCAAAUAUGGCUUGUUUAUGUGAUUUUUUUUAGAGCCACUCAUAUUUUGCUACUCUAAAUCAAGCCAUUUCCUGCCUUGCUCAACACAGCUCCUACAUCCUUGUAAACAAGAAUUACAGUUUUUAGAUUUCAGAAUAUGUCUUCAAUUUUUAGAAAGCUGUGUUUUUGCUGGUGCUUUUUGAGACUCAAGACAACAGUGGACAGGUUCCACUUUCUGUGAUUUGACUCCUUUUUAACUCCUUUAUUAACUUCUUCCCAAUCUUAAUUGUUUUUAGCAACUCAUAGUUAUAUUUAGGGAUCUACACAUGAUAUGUAUUUUAGCUUCAUUGAAAAUGUUUUUAUUUAAUUCCAAUUUUUCAUUCUUCUUGGUUUUGUAUACUUUUGGAAGAGUAGGUUUGGGAGUAGGGAGAAUUCCUGACUGAUAGCAGUCACAUUCUCAUUAGAAGUUAAGGGCUUCUAAUGAAAUUUUUCAUGAUUUCUUUUAAUAUGAUGUUUUCGUGUGAUUCCUCCAGCUAAUGUAGAUGUGACUGCCAUUCUGACCAUGACAUGCUACUGUGCAUAGUAAGCCCCUUUGGGCUUUGCCCAUACCUGAAAAGUCUUUCUGAAAACCUCACCACUGACUUCUUUUCACUUAACUUACUCAGAUGUGUCCUUGGAGAUCUGUAUUGAGUAUCUCUUCUCUCUAGAAGCUUUCCCUUACAUCCCCUGUACUUGCAUCCCACCUUUGUACUUUACUUGCAUCUCACCCUGGGGUACUUCCUUUGCUCUUAUUUCCCUAGACCACAAUGAUCUGCUUACUCCUGUAUAGAUUCUAGAAGGUACUGUAUAAAGUAUUCUCAGGAGAUGCUUCUUCAAGAUGCAUUGUGAAAACAGUGUGGUGUGAUCAAAUAUUUGGGAAAUGCUGCAUAUUAUAUUCUUAGUCUUAGAGAGUCACAAUUUAUAUAUUAGAAUUUGCAAAAGGUCUUAAAAAAAGAAGUCUGUUAAUAUUGAUAUAACCAAUAGCAUACCAAAAGUAGUUGUUUAUGAAACCCCCAUUUAUGUGUGACAGAGUGUUAAUACAUGCUGGGAAGCUACACAAGAAAUGCCUCCUUGAUGUGACUAUGGUAGGAUCCUCAGCUCCUAGUCCAGUGCCUGGUACAUUGUGCUACUUAAUAUAUGCCUGUUGAAUGACUUAAUCUACCUUAUACACUAUCCCAGAUGCUUAGUUGUUUACAGAAACGUGUUAUAAGUUGGUUUUACAUACAAGGGAUCACAAUGGCAUAAACUCUGGAGAGCUGUGUAGGUCUGCUUCAGAUAAAUAGAUUUGGCUCCAAUGUUGAAUGUUAUUUUUGAGUCAUGGGGACAUUUACUAAGCAAAAAGCAUUCAGGGGAGGGUGGCCAGGUUAUUUAAGGGAUUUGGAAAACCUUUAUGCAUGGAGUGAUGAGAAGUAGUGGAUACAUUUAGUUUGGAGAAGAUAAUGCUAAUAAGAAAAUUUUAUCUUUAAAUAUUGAACAGUGACUAAGAUAUCAUUUUACCAGUCAAAAAUUUCACAGUAUAGUAAAAAAAAAAAAAAAAACAACAAACUGAUUACAACAUAAUGAAAUAAGUGUCCUGGCAAAACAUCUUCAGCAUCAGAGAAAAGAGUGAAUAGUUUGCUUGGAGGAUUGGGUGUGUGGGUAGUCAGGGAGACUUCUCUGAGGGGGCAGCAUCUGAGCAUAUUUUAAGGGUGAGCAUGUGUGGAGCGCUCCAUAUCACAACACAGUCUACCUCUGAAGAAAGAUCUAGGUGAAAGUUUAGAGUUUAUUUAUCUUUAAUGGAAAACUGUUAUGUUUGGAUGAGAGAGCUGUUUCUGUCAAUUGUUCUACAUUGAACACUUCCAAGUUGUGGCAUAAUGCAGCAUGCAGUGGCUGAAAAUAUAUGAAGCACUUUUUGAGUUGCUGACUUAAAAGUGAAUCAUUGAAUAAUAUUUUUCUUAUUUAGGUUUAAGCUUAUUGUUUUUGUUGUUGUUGUUGUUUUGUUUGUUUUGUUUUUUUUUUUUUUUUUGAGACAGAAUCUCACUCUGUUGCCCAGGCUGGAGGGCAGUGGUGUGAUCUUGGCUCACUGUAGCCUCUGCCUCUUGGGUUCAAGCGAUUCUCAUGCCUCAGCCUCCCAAGUAGCUGGGACUGCAUGUGUGCGCCACCAUGCCCAGCUAAUUUUUGUAUUUUUAGUAGAGAUGGGGUUUCAUUACACUGGCCAGGCUGGUCUCAAACUCCUGGCCUCAAGUGAUCCACCUGCCUCGGCCUCCCUAAGUGCUGGGAUUACAGGCGUGAGCCAUCUUUCCCAGCCUAAGAUGAUUCUAUUUAUGAUGACCUGUUCUUGGUAAUGCGCUUCUUUUUUUUUUAAAGGAGGUGAGAAAUUCUGUGGGCUUCAAAGGAGUGUUGAUUUUAGGUGGCUCAGCAUACGGCUGAAAUGCUUGUAGUUUACAUUGUAAAAUAUUGACUUUAUAAGUAGAUCAUUCUAUAAGAUACAUGAAUUCAAUACUUAUCUUUCUACUCAUUGUAGAUUUCCAGAGUUCUAUAUCAUCAGAAGGGCUGAAACAUAUUCAGAAAAUAGACAGUUUGGGCCAGGCACAGUGGCUCAUGCCUGUAAUCCCAGCACUUUGGGAGGCCGAGGUGAGCGGAUCAUGAGGUCAAGAGAUCGAGAUCAUCCUGGCCAACAUGGUGAAACCCUGUC
This 9137-nucleotide long non-coding RNA is filed under the name Homo sapiens (human). Its description in RNAcentral is "HSALNT0090785". The record is from RNAcentral. Lineage: Eukaryota; Metazoa; Chordata; Mammalia; Primates; Hominidae.